CAAGAUUUUCUUCUCCAGUGGGGAAUGCUGACCUGCAGCAAUCCUGGGAUCUUUAGAUACUUUAGCCCAAGCCAAU
Vicugna pacos (alpaca) is the source of this 76-nucleotide non-coding RNA. NCBI's taxonomy places the organism in Eukaryota, Metazoa, Chordata, Mammalia, Artiodactyla, Camelidae. The record is from Rfam.